AAAAUUUUGGUAGCAAAGCUGUCAAACAUUACGACAUUAUCUGGAACUUACCAUAGUGAAAGUGGAAGGCACAUAAAUGAAGGGGAAAGGUUACAGCAUGAACAACCUAUAAAUAUACUGCAUAGUUGGUACUUGAUCUCUACCAUUUCUUACAUUACAGAAAAAGUUUGUCAUUCAAACUUCAAAUAGGAAUAAUGCAAAUUUUUCUACUAUUGUUUUAGUACCUUCUCGUGUAUUACUUCAUUGCCCUGUAUGCUAUGGAAUUUUUCGUACUCAUUUAGAAUUCAUAGAUCAUAUAUGAGGUACUCACCCAUUAUCUGAGCAAACAACCAUCGUGCAUUCUCCUGUAUUUGCAUCCUAAAUUGUUUUGCCAGGAAAUCCGCCAUCAUCUCAACCUGUUGUACCACAACCUGUGAGUUUUCAGGAAAUGAUAGAGUUGUUGUCCAACCAGCAAAGUCUUUGAAUCGUAACGAGCCGACAAAAUGGGGCAGAGCACCACCAAUCGAUAGGCAACAAAUGGAAAGAAGCAUCAACCUUGGAGGUUCAAAUUCAACAUUUGCAGAUACAAAUGAUGCUACUGUAGAUUUUACAAGACCAUCGAUCAAUCAAUUAGAUGUUCCUAUUCCAUCAAAUACAUAUAAAAUAGUUAACGUAGCUGAAAAACAAAAUGAUUUGAACUUAAGCUUGAAGCUUUAAUUGAAGAAAAAAUUACGCUGAUCUUCUUUAUAAGGGGAUGUCUAACAAUGUUCUAAGUUUGGAGUCCUUUUUUUUCUAGUUUUAUUGUUAUAUGUUUGUCUGAUACUAGGGUGUCUAAAAGGGCGAGUCUGUCAUUUUAUUUUAUUUUAUUUUUUGUCAGACAUGGUGGGUGUCUAAAAUUGCAUUUUGAUUGGUGUCUGUUAUUUUUUAUUUAUUAAAAUAUUUGUCUUGAUUUAAAUAAUCCAAUCCAUUUAUUUGUGUGCAAAUAUUUUUUUGUCCUUGCUGAGUACAUUUUAAAAAACAAUAUUAUUAUAGUUCAAAUGUAGUUAAUUUCACCUAUUAUUACUAUGUUAAAAUGUCAAGUGAUAAGUCCCCGUAAAUUUUCAAUCAAUUUAUUUCAGAACCUCCCUUGUGCUAAAUGGUAAUUUUUGACUUGAAUCAUGAUAAGGAAUGUUAACGGGAUGUUUUGGGAGAGUUUCAGAAUUUCCGAAAAGCAUUCGGGGUCAUUUUGGUACUCCAAACCAGUGAGCCUCUGCGAAUAGGGGCGUGGGACACUGCCUACGCCCUGCAAUAAGGGAGUGGCACUCUUCCUACUCCCCACGAUAAGGGUGUGCCACACUGCUGAGCACAAAUCACCCAACUUCAUUUUUUCAAUUGGGGGCAAUGGUUUUUUGUCCUUUGCCAUUAGAUGACGUAAAUGUCUUUUAAUCCAUCAUAGUCAUCAGUUAUCAACUUUUAACAUUGCUAUUCUCCUCUCCAACUACCAAGUCAAGAAACUCAAGGUUUUCUCAAGAAUUCACUACUCUGGGCUUUAAACUCUGCAUUCUCUCCAAAUUCUUUCAAUUUUUAGGCAUGUUGGACACUUUCUAAUUUGAAUACUAUAUUAUUGCAUUCAUUCAAUUGUUAUUGAAGUUUUUUUUUUUUGAACUAUGGGUUUAAACUAGGGUUUGAGAAUUGUCAUCACUAAUGUGAAAUAUUAAUUUUUCUCUUCUUAUAAAUUAUUUAUAAUCACUUGCGGUGGAUUUUAGAUUUUUGAAUAACAUGUUUGAAAGGAUGCAUUUCAUUAGAUAAGUAUUAAAACAUUGAAUGUUAAGGAUGAUUGAAAUCAUGAUAUUCAAGUCCUUUGAAAAAGCUUUGAAUUGAGAUGAUGAACAAAUAUGACACCCUAUCUUUUUGAGGUAUUGAAAGUGUUAAACUUUAUGACUGCUUUGAGAUUUUUUUGCUAUUUAAUGAUUAUUAUGAGCAUCAUUUUGAAUGAUGGGAUUAAGGAGUCGUAACUAUUUUAUGAUAAUGGUUCUUGGUAUGAUAUGAAUGGGUUGCAAGUCUUGGUAUGACGAUAACAGUAUGAAUAUAUCCUAAUGAAUGACUCCCUGAUAAAUGUUAUGUUCAAACUAUUUUAAUUGGGAUCUAAAGAAAAUUAUAUAGCACACUGUGAAGGCAUAAGUCUUCGUGACCAACGCUUGAAACCUAUAUUGUUGGCAUAGAGAUGUCGUACCUUAAUUGGAUGAUUAGAUUAUGUGCUUAACAUGAUGAUAAUAUGUAUGGUGGCUUUAUCAUACUUGUGACUUUAGCUUAACUUCGGUAUGUGAGACCAACAUGGACUGGGGGCCCAUUGGUUUGGGAGUACCGCACCCAUAUAGCCCGUGGGUUACUAGAUGACCCAUACUAUCCAUGGGUCAGAAAACUACGAUGAAAGCUAUAUAGUUCAGGAUUAAAUUUCAAAGGUUCAUAUAACAUGUCCCUUACCCCUACCCCAACAUCCUAUUAUAUAUAUAUAUAUAUAUAUACACUUGAUAUGCAUGUGGUUUAUAAUUGGUUUUAGUAAAUACAUACAUGUUUUAUCUCUUUCUUCGGGUGCAUUCCAGUAUUCACCAUACUGACCGUCCUCGAAUGGUUUGAUUUCUUGAUCGAAAAACUAUGAAGUAGUGAGCCCUCCAUUUUACGAAAGGCCUGGUCUCUCUUUUUGGUUUUAGUUUAUUAUUCUAGCACUUUUGUAUUUCUUUUGUUAUAAUCACGGACAUGUUCGGAUUUAGUAGGUAUUCUUUAUAUUAGAGUCUUUUGUAGGCAGUGUUGGGUAUUUCUGUAUGGAAUUGAUUGUUGACUCACAAACUUACUCUUUGAUUAUUACAUCUCUCUUAUCCUACUGUUUAGCUUCCACAGUUCAUUAUUUUACUAUGCUCUUGAGGUAAGGCUAAGGGAUCGUCCUAGGCAUUGAUUGGUUUAGGAUGCCCGUCACGGCCAGGCCUCAGUUCGAAUCAUGACAAGCUUGGUAUCAAUGCAUGGUUUAGGGUUCUAGGAUGUCCACGAAGUCAUAUCGAGUAGAGUCUCUCUCAUGGGUGAGUGGCGCACUACACUUAUAACGGGGAGGCUAAAGACAUUUAAGAAUGUUUUCCUUCCUUGUGUUCUAUUUCAAGCUUGGGAGUCUAGUUACCAUGAAACUUCUCUAACUCCUAACUUACUCGCAUUUUAGAUCUUACAUCCUCGAAGAUAUGACAGUCAUAGGAACUUAGCUAGAACCUCUAUCCCAAUUGGGGAAAAUGUGGAGGAUGUUUGCCCUACUCAUGAAAUACAAACUCAAAAUAAAGCCCAUGCUCUGGAUUAUACUACUCCACCAGGGAUUCCACCGGUCCUUACUAGUCCUCCUCAAGCUGAUAAUACUCAUACUCAAUUUCCUUAGGGAGAUAUCUCGAAUGCUGAGUUCCAUCAGUCCAUCCAUAUGCUUACGUGGAAUAUAGCCUCCCAGUUUCAUCAUCUUGAUCAUGUCGGUCCUUUUGUUAACUCGUCUGAGGCCACUCGAGUUUGCCAAUUUGUGAGGCUGAAUUCCCUAAACUUUACAGGCUUUAAGGUUGAGAAGGAUCCUCAGGAGUUUAUUAAUGAUAUGGAAGAUCUUCAGGGUGAUGCAUGCUAGUGAUUUAGAGAGGGUCGAGUUUGUAGCUUAUCAAUUGAAAGAAGUGUCUUAUCAGUGGUACGAGGAGUGGGAAGAGUUAAGGGGUGAAGAUAUUGAGCCGGUAGUGUUGGAAGGGUUCUUGGGUACUUUCCUUGGUCACUUCUUUCCUAAAGAGUUGUGGGAGGCUAAGGCUGAAGAGUUUUUAAACCUAAAAUAAUGUAAAAUAAGUGUUAAGAAGUUUGCAUUAAAGUUCACUCAACUAUCUCGUUAUGCUCUUGAGCUUGUGUAACACCCUGAGUCUGGUACCUCGGACGCUACACGGUGCUUAUAAACUUGAAGGACCAUAAUCUAACCCAUGUAUACUACCUGUUGCAAAUACUGAAUAACAAUACUAUAUAAUGCAGAAUAAUGGGCUGAAAUUCCAUAAGGUUCAAUACUGUAAUAAAUCUGACAAUACGGUAUAACAAUACCAAGACAAAAACAACUGUCUGAAAAUACUCUAGUCUGAAAAGCCUCUAAGUUUUCUGAAUAGGAGUUGAUGGGACAAUCGUCCAACUAAAUUCAUCUACUGAAAUACUAAGUCUAAUGAAAUAAUAAAAUAAAAGAAUAUCCUCGAAUGAUGAGGACUCACUGCUAAGUUUACUGCUGUUGGCUGGAUUUGAACUGCUAAGGAUGCUCGGGAGCUCUUGUGUCUGAACCUAUGUUAUAAGACACCAUAGCUUAAGAAAGUAUGUGUCAGUACGUAAGAAUGUACUAGUAUGCUAGAUGAGGUAAGGCUAAAUGCAAGGGUUCGUAUACAUAGACAAUACUGACUGAAUAACAUGAGUAUGCUGAAUAAGGAUACAUGCAUAAAUACAUAAACCAUAACUAAAAUCAUAGUGAUACUGAAUACUGAGUUCUAAUAACUGGAUUACUGCUAAUUGAGUCUACUAAUACUGUGUUACUGAUACUUAGUCUACUAAUAUGCUGAUAUUGAUUUACUGUAUCUAACAGUACUGAUUUCUGAUGGAACUAGUUGAGUUCUGUACUGAGUUGAGUGAUUGUAUCUGAUAGUCCUGAGAUCUAUAGAUAUAUCUGAGUUCUAUUUUGAAGAAUGAGAAUGAAACUGAUACUGUGGGAGUUAAUCAUCUAACUGACAUGCCCUGAGUCUAAACUAGUGGGGUCCAACCUGUAACCCCAGCUGAAAGGGUGUUAGUACCGUGCUUAGGGUAAAGACAACUACUAUGUAGUCAGUCCUAACUAACGGUUGACUCCUAAGAUCAAUCCUAUCUAGCAGGUAAUCCCUGAGUAUGUCAGUCCUAUCUAAUAGGUGAUAUCUCAUGACCUAUGCUGGAUAUGUAGUUCUGGAACUUAGGGAUUGCUUUUAGGGACCCAGUCCUAGCUAUCACGCGAGUCCCCAUCCUUACGAUCGCUCGGUGCUGAAUCCUACUCUCAACUGAAAGACACUAAACUAAUUUCAUAGUUCAUACUAGGCUUGACUAAACUGGUACUGAUCAUACUGUUUAACUGAGCUGAACUAAGAUCACUGAGUUCCGUUGACUGACGGAAUACUUCUAAAUUUUUCGCUGAAUUCUACUGAUCGUGACAUGACUGAGACUAUUUUGUAACUGACACUGGCUCUAGGAAAAUAGCUAAAUUGUCGGGUAUUAAAUACCCCCAGGAUUCGAUAACAUGAUAAGUAAAGCAUAACAUGAUCUUGCAAAGCAUAACAAUACACGCUUGUUCAUAAUUCAUCUAUUGAGACAUUUCAUCAAACACUUGUAGGGCAUAGGCUUGUGCACAUACUAACAUCUUACAAUUUCAUCAACUUAUUCACAUGAAAGUCAUAAACUCAUACAUAAUAGGAAUACAUUCUAAUGUCUCAUGAUUCAUUCAAUACGGCCUUUCAUCAAACACUUGACAUGUAUUAACAUGUACAUGAAUGGGGAUUUCUUAUUAACAUGCUAUAAUGACACUAUUUCAUUCACAUAGGUAUUUUAUCAAACAUAUAGGGAGCAUGCUUUGAUCAUACAACAAUCAAUACAUCUAAUUAUCAUGUCUAAUCUUUCAACUUGCAAUUUGAGGGGUUUAUCAUGAACAUCAUGCAAAUCAUCACAUUUUAGGAUCAAUUAUUGAAUCUUGUAAUCUAAAACAUGAAUCAAAACUCAACAACAACAUAAACAUGAAUUUCAAUUCAAAUAAAUCAUGAAAACUCACAAAUAUACAAUCUUUGUAUUUUGAAAAUAGAUUCUUGGGCUUCAUGGGUGGAAGGGACCCAUGAAUAAACAUCUAACAUACCUUAAUGCUUGAUUUUAAGAAGAUUGAUGGUGAAAUUCUUGAGAGUUGAAUCUUGAAUUUAAAACCCUAAUGCUUUUUCUUGAGAGAGUUUGAGAGGAUGAGAGUAUAUUUUGGUGAAUUAGGGCUAAAUUUCGUGUUUAUGGCUGAAUUAGAGUGGAGAAAUAACCCUUUUGCCCUUUAAAAAUUUGGGGCUGGACUGCUAAAAGUACCCCAUCUGGAAUGGAAAGUGCAUCAUGGGCUUUAGUUUGUCGCUCUAGGCAGGGCACCGCGGUGCUUAGAGCAUUUCUAUGGCCAGGGCGGCACAGGAUUAACGGCUUUAGCUACUGGUUUGGAAAUCCAAAUAGGCCCUUAUGCUUGUUCGAAAAUGAUGAAACUCAUCCGAGAUGUACUGCUGACUUGCCCCAUUGUGAAUCAACUUAAAAAUUGACAAACGAAGGUCGGGAAGGUCAUGAAAUAAAUCCUCAAAGUUUGAAGGCUUUGAAAGAGUCUAAGUCUUCACACUUAGCUAAAAUUCUCUAAGUGUGAGAUCCCUUAUGAAGCUCUAAGGAGGCUGAAUUAGACUUAGAAUUUUUGCUGGGUUUUACAAUAUCUCCCUCUUGGGAACAUUUAUCCUCGAAUGGGACUAACUAAGCUGAGAUUACAGAUAAACUGAACUUACUUACUGGACAUGAUCAUCUGAAACAUAAUUAUAUGGUUGGAACCACUGAUAUACUAAAAUUCCAUACUGAACAUGCAUAUCUGAUGCAUGAGUACAUGGCUGAACUGACUCAUGAAUGCAUGACUGAAUAUGAAAUGGUAACUGAUACCAAGUUUGUAAGGAAAAUUUGAACAUGAAACUGAAUGGGUUUAAGGACAUGAAAGCAUCGCGGAAUUGUAGGGUAUCUCCUCUUUGGGACACUAUGUCCUUCUAAGAAUGCUUACUAUAUUAAGAUACUGGGGAAAACUGGGGUGAUGUACAGGAUACCUACAAACUGAAUUGCAACUGAAUAUCUGGGAUCUGAAACUAAUGCAUGAUUCAUAAACUGAGCUGAACUGGAAACUACUAGGAUGUUCUAUCUUGGAAUAGUUACAUUUCUAAUAUUUCUGAUAGUAUGACUACAUGGAGAUGGGAAAACAAACCAUAUGAAUUUGACUGUCUGACUGCUAAACUGAAUUGCUGGCUUUAAUGACUAAAUCAUGCUGAAAACUUAAGCUCAACUAGAUCAAGGGACCUAACAAAGCAUAUCAUAAAUAUGAAAGACUCAUAACCUACCCGAAUCUAUAUUAGGGGAACUUCGCUGAUCAUGUCGAGUCUGGAAUGCAUAAAAUCUGUUAUGACAUUGACCACUAGUGGUAUUGGAAGUGGCGCCCUACUAAUGCAAAUCUUUACCCCUCUGAGCCAAUACUCUAUACUCCCAUAGCCUGUGUCCUGGCUUACCAUAUCCAAAACAUACCUCAUUGCCAGCUCUACACAUAGCUAGGUGAUUUCUACUACACUUUUUGCAAAGUAGAUAGGUACGAUCACUAUUUAUACUACCCUAGGUCUUGGAGCCUGGCGCCCCAUCAUGACUGUCAUUCCUGAACUUGAGUACUAGUGCACUAGCUGUAGAUAGAGAUGGGACUGAAAACUUCUGGCUAAACUGAGAACGGUUACCACCCUGUGACCCUAGCUGAGAAAAACUAAAACUACCUAUUCUAGCUCUCUUAUUUUCCUUCUUUUUCUUCUUAGAUUCUGCUCCUCAAUCUGCUGAGCGUGGACCAUAAGCCUAGAUAUGUUCAUAUCCUUAAUUAACAUCAGUCCUUUACUCCUUAACCACACUAUCAGAUACCCUAGACACAAAAUUGAUUAUUCUGGAUCUAUUGUCUGCUACAACAUGAGGAACAUAUUUGGCUAACUGAGUAAACUUGAGGGAAUACUCUUUUACGCUCAUGCUAUAUUAUCUGAGAUUGAUAAACUCUAACACUUUGGCUUCUCUCAGCUCUAGGGGAAAGAAUCUAUCUAAGAAGGUUCUAGCAAACUCUUCGCAUUUUAUGGGCUCUGCAUCUGUACCCCUGUCUACUUUCCACUGCUUAAAUUAUGUAUAGGCUAUAUCUUGUAGCUAAUAGGCAGCUAACUCAGCACUCUCACUAAAAGUCACUUCCAUAAUAUUUGUGACUUUCUGAACCUGAUCAAGGAACUCCUAUGGAUCCUCUUUUGACUUGGAUCCUGAGAAUAGGGGAGAAUUCAUUUGAGUGAAGUCUCAAAUCUUGGUAGAAGCAGUAUUGGCAACUGGGUUGGCCUGAACAAUAGCUAGAUGCCUAUUAUGGACUACUACAGCCUUAGCUAGAGUAGUGAAUGCUACUCUGAAUUUUGCAUGAGAGACGUGCUCCUCCAGAGGAUCUGGUUGGAUAGGAUGAGGUGCUAACUGAUUCUCAUUCCUUCUUUUAUUUGUCCUUUUGGGAGGCAUGUUCUGUAAAAAGAAGGAAAAGAUAAGUUAGAUUGAGGCUUAACUGGAGAUUAUGCUCACUCGUAUGACAUGAAUACUGAAAGAAGGGAAACUGUUCCUAAAAUAUCUUAUUGCCUUAUACUUAUAAGUGUGGCGCGCAACACACCUAUGCAUAAGACUCUACUAGAUGCGGCUUUCAGACUUUCUAGGACACUAUUAAACUCUAGGCUCUAGUACCAAGUUUGUAAUGCCCUGAGUCUGGUACUUCGAAUGCUACACGGUGCUCAUAAUCCUGAAGGACCACAAGCUAACCAAUGACUGGUACCUGCCUCAAAUACUAAAUAACAAUACUGUAUAAUAAGAAAUAAUGGGCUGAAAUGCCAUAAGGUUUAAUACUGUAAUAAAUCUGACAAUAAGGUAUAACAAUACCAAGACUAAAACAACUGUCUGAAAAUACUCUAGUCUGAAAAGCCUCUAAACUGUCUAAAUAAGGAGUUGAUGGGAUAGUUCCCCAACUAACUCCAUCUACUGAAAUACUAAAUCUAAUGAAAUAAUAAAAUAAAAGAAUAUUCUCGAAUGAUGAUGACUCACUGCUAAUUCUACUACUACUAGCUAGAUCUAAAUUGCUAAGGAUGCUCGGGAGCUCGCGCAUCCGAACCUAUGGUAUAAGACCCCAUAGGUAAAGAAAGUAUGUGUCAGUACGUGGGAAUGUACUCGUAUGCUAGAUAAGGUAAGGUUAAAUACAAGGGUUUAUAUACAUAGACAAUACUGACUGAAUAACAUGAGUAUGCUGAAUGAGGAUACAUGUAUGAAUACAUAAACUAUAACUGAAAUUGUAGUGAUACUGAAAACAUAAACUAUGAAUACGUCUGUAUUUUUCUUUGAGAGGCUAUAGGGCAUUUAAGAAAAGUUUCCUUUCUUUCCUUCUCUAGAUCGUCCAGUAAAUUUUUCCUAUCGAAAUCUCCUAUCCAUUCGUGUGGUACCCCAAAAUUCAUCACCUAUGUAUUAUACUUGAGAUAACAUAAUUAGCAAGUUUCAAUUUCCUCCCGAGAUAAUGCUCUCAGAAUUACUAGUAAAAGUUUUAAAAGUCAUACAAAGGGGCUUGAGAGGACCUCUCUAGUGUGUCAUGAGUCCCUUAUGUUGAAAGUUAUGUCCUCAUUCUUAUGAAUCAUUCAGUUAAUACAAAUUAAGAUAUGUAUUCAUAUUCCUCAUUAGCCUUUCAAUAUGGAUAGUACUCAUUAGAAGAACUAGUGUGAGUAUUGAUUGCUGAUUAGAGUUUGUGUUCAUGAGAUAUUGAAACCUAGAGUGAUAUGAUUCAUAAGUAGUUGAAACUUCUUAUAGUUGGAAGUUUGAGUAUAGAAGAGUAAUAGAAAGAAGAGUGAGCAUGACGAUUGAUAGAAAGUAUAGAGAUAAACUUAUGCAUGCUAUAGAUCUUGCAUUAUGUUGAUAUGUCCUUGUGUGUUAGUUUAGUAGAAGGUAGAGAAGGAGUUAUUAGUUAAGGUGAAUUGUUGUUUACUUAAAGUAUGAAAAGAAUUGUUGAUAGUAUUUAUUGUGUUAUAAAAGUAUAGAUUAUUGAUGAAAGUACUUGGUGGUUUAGUAUUGUCAAUUUAAGCUUCCCCUGAGGUUGCAAAAAGGAGUUUAGUUGAAACUUAUAGGACUAUGAAAGAAGUUUAGCUGUAUAGAUGGGUGAAUAGUAGUGAUGUGUAAAAAGAGGACAUGUUAAUGGAUUAUAAUAAGAUAGGCUAUAUAAUCUUGAUCAAUUAUUGUUCUUAUACGGUUUUAGUAGACUAGUUUUUCUUGAUGUUUUAUUUUAUAGUUUCCAAGUGAGAAUUGUGUGUGAGGUUGGGUUGUAAAUUAUGUUUAGCUCUAGACAUUAAGUUUAAACUGUGGAGGGUCAUCAAGGUGGAUGUAAAGAUUGCUUGGUUAGUGAUGCUAGUUAGAUGGAGGUGAACCAAUAGGCUUGAAAAUAGUGAAUGAAAGAAUGUAAGUUUAUUGAUUUGAGAUUAAGCAUGAUGUUGUAGGUAUGAGGUAGUGGUGUGCCCAAGGGGAUAUAAGGUUGCAUUAUUUUCUAUGUUUCUUACGUAUUGUGUGUGGUUAGUAGUACCCUUGAGUUUUAAGUGGAAAAAGCAUAAUUGUCUAGUACAUGGUAUUCUGGAUAGCCAAGUUAAGGAGUUAUGGAUAGAUGAUGUUGAGUCUUUUAACUAUGAUUUUGAUUCUUAUGAUUUGUGAAAAAUAUAAGUAUAGAGGUAUGAUCUUUCUAGCCCAUGAUUAUGUGUUUAGUAACGCAGGUAUGUUUUUUUAGAAUUAAGAGAGUGUAAGUCUAUGAUGAUGAUUAUCAAAGAUAGAGGGAGUUAAGGAUGGUAUAUGGGAGGGGUUUAAAACUUAGAAAAUUUCAGCUAAGUGUUGGGACUUAGUCUUUUCCAAAGCCUUCUAACUUUGAGGAUUUUAUUUAUGACCAUCCCAACCUUCGAUAGUUAAUUUUUAAGUUGAUUCAUUAUCAGGGGAUUUAAUAGUACAUCUUAGGUGAGUUUGGAAUUUUCAGACCCCGUUUAGGGAAUGUUUGGAUGUCCAAACCAGUAGCUAUGCACGAUUAGCAUGCAACGCAUGAUCCAAUCCACCCCUACGAGCAUGCGAUAGAGCAUGCGAUGAACGCUUCAUAGCGUGUGAUGCACGCUACACAACAUACUUCCUUAUUUUUCCAACUCCUAUUUCUGCGUAUUAAAGGGCCAAUGCUUAUAUACCUCAUACGUAUUCAAGUUUAUUCUCAACUUUUAGUAAGUAAGUAAUGGCUUCACUCUAUGGUUUGAUUCAUCCCUCAGAAAUCUAUGGACUUCAGUCUUAUAUUGAAUUGCUUGUGAUAAGUAUGAACUCAUGUUUCAGAGUAUGACCAGUUUUUUUGAACUCAUGAUACUGUUGAAUUCACAUUAUAUCAUUUAUGUCCUCAGUUUAGAUCUCUUUAAUGAAUCCAUGCCUUUGAUAUUCUGUUCCUCAGGCCUCAUUUAAGUGUUAAAGUUAUAUAUAGUAGUCUUUCGUAUUCAGGUCCUUAUGUGUUAGCCCUUCAGUAACCUCUUCCUAUGUCAAGAUAGUGGCGAUGAUAAUGGAUAACAAUGAUUUAGAUGAGAGGGAGUUGAUGACCCUCAUUAAGAAAGAUCAAUUAUGCUUUUCUAUCUAAGGGUAAAGUGUGAAGUAAGAUUGAGGCCAAGUCUUUGGUACCUUUCAUAGUUAGUAAAGAAUUAUGGGUAUGUUUUCUUAAGAAUAAUGCAAGAAAAUUAUCAUUGAUAGAGGUUUAGAGAAUAUGCAAAGUAUGCCUUUAUAUGUAUUUGCCUUGAAGUUAUAUAUGGGUAUAAAGAUAGGCUUGAAUGUCAUAUUGGGAUGUAAGUGGAGGAAUGCAAUAUACGCUAGUGAAUCCAUAGUAAGAGUUCAGAGUUGGUCAUUAAAGUGGUAAAGCACAUUAUGCUUAGAGAGUGAGCUCUAAGAGAGACAUAGAGGAUUGAAGCAUGUUGUUUAGACUAGUAUUGUGGCGUGGCAUGUUGUACCUUGUGAUCUUGAGUUAGGAUUGAUCAUGGUGAGAAGACUUAGAUCAAUUUUGACAUUAGUAGAAUGAAUUAUGAAUGGCCAUGUGAGAAUUAGGAGUUGAAUCAAUGAAGAUGGUGAGAGAAUUUAGUUCAGUCUAGACAUCAGUAGAUGGAAAUAUUAGUGCUAUAUGAGAAUUAUAAGUUGAAUCAAGCGAGUAUAGUAUUUAAGGGGAAUAGUAUAAAUGAGGGAGUAUUCGAGAACUGUUGCUAAGCUUGAAGGUAAGAAGUUGCAUCGCCUAAAACCUGGUAAUUUUAUCAUAGUUUAUGAUUUAUAUGUCUAUAUUCCAUGUUAUGGAGUGUUGAAGAGAUACUCCAACUAUGUAUAAGUUUCCAGCGUAAUUCAGUCAGUAUAGCCAGCAAUUCAGUUUAACAGUAAGGCAGACAAGUUUGUGUUUUUUUACACCUUUUUACCCAGUCCCACUAUCCAAAGUCUCAUGCGUAUGACCAUUCCAAGAGAUAAUCUAUUCCAUCCAUGUAAAUUAUAAAGCGUAGUUCAUGCAUCAGUUUCAAAUAUUAAAUCAUGAAUCAGUUCGUAAUUAUCCGGUGUAUCAUCUCAGUCUUUUCCUAGUAUUUCAACCAAAUCAGUAUCAUUCGGGGACAAAUGAUCCCACGGGGGUAUUGUAAUAUCCCGAGUUUUCAUGUCAUAAACCUAUCAUCUUUUUCUUGUAAAUUUAGAUCUAGCCUAAAAUAAUGGUUACUCAUAAGUUGACACUCUCGUUUCUAUCUCAGCCAUUUCGCUAUUUUUAAUGAGAAUUCAUGCACUCGCAGAUCAGUUCAGUAGCUCAUUAUGUUUAAGAUUCAGUAGCUCAUUAUGUUUAAGAUUCAGUGAUUCAGUUUAUUUCAAUUGUGCAUGAUAACUUAUAGCCUUAGAUUCCUCAGUGUUUUCAGCUUCAUUAGCCAUAUUUGAGGAUGAAUGUUCCCAAGGGGGAGAUAAUGUAAUACCCCACAUUUUCGGGCUAGUCUUUGAACCAUCAUUCCUACAUGUGAUUUAUAAUCCAAGUGAUUUUCAUGUGAAUAUAUGUUUUAUGAUCUUUUUACUAGUGUGUGAAAUGCUCAUGAGGUAAAAAAUGUUCAUAGAAAUCAUUUAGAGCCAAGUUGAGCUAAGAUCCUUUAAUUCGUCCAAAAUUCGAUAUUUGAUUCUACAAGGGUCUACUUUAAACAUGUAUAACUUUUAAUAUAAAUGGAAUUUUUCAUCCCAAGACCCACUAAAUUUUAGAUAAUUGAAUCAGCUUUCCAACGAUACCAAUUUUGCCAAAAUCUGGUUCCUAAGAAAAAAGUUGUGGCCAUUUUUGUGAGUGAGGCAGUAGCAUUGCGUGAUUAGCGUGUGACGUACACCCUAUCGCACGCCCCCAAUUUGCAGGUUCUGUUUUUGCAUUUUUAAGGGAAAAAAGGUCCUUUCCUUCACCCAAACUCGUCCAUAAUAGAUAAUUAAUGCCUUAGGGAGCAUUAUUUGCCCCUUUAACCAUAAUUUCUCUCCAAGCCUCCAUCAAGAACAAACCCUAAUCCCCAUUCAAGAAGUUCAAGACUUCAUUACAAUACCUUCAAGAAAAACCAAGAAUUAGGUUCCUUAAUCCAAGAAUCUAAGAGUUCAAUCUUCCAAGUUCAAUAAUUCUUCAAAAUAUAUCAAGAAUAAAGUUUCUUUCACAAGUUCAUCACUCAAGCUCCAAGAUUCAAGAUUUCUUCAUCAAAUUCAAACUAUUAUGUGGGGUUUCAACAAGAACAAUUCUUUCGUUCUUGUCCCCAAAAUUAUGAAUUUUAUUAAAGAUUACAUGACUUGCAAGUUGGGGUUUAUGCCCAAAUUAUCUUGUUUUGAGUUUAUAAAGUUAUAAGUGAUUUAAGCCUUGAAUUGCAUGACUAUUUUCAUAUAUUUAUGCAAGUAGUGCAAUUUUCCAGAUUUUCCAAGUAAGUUUAGGAAUGAUAUUGUGAUUCUUGAUUUUAUUAUUUUGAUAUUGUUGAAGUAUUUUCAAGAAUCAUGUUGAGCAUAAAGUUUUGUUGUGAAUUUGUCAUAAGUUUAAAGCAUGAAUUUUAAGCCCAAAGAUUAAGUAUUGAAAUCCUCAAGAUCAUGUUCAUAAAAGUUUUGAUUAUUAAAUCCAUAUCAAGAGUGAGUUUGAGUUUUCAAGAAGACUAUGGUCUUAAGCUUUCCUCUAACAAAUUGCUUACCAAGAUUUAAAGAAAGUUGAUGUUUUGAUCCUAAGCUCAGAUAGGAAUCCACAUUAUUCAUACAGUUUAUGAUUUAAAGCAAAGAGAAGCACAAUUGGUUUUUAUUAUAAACCCUUGUGUUAUUUUAAGGUGGAUUUCCUAAAAGUUCUGAGCAACAAGUAUGGAAGUAGUAUUUAGCACCGAGUUGGGUAUGAUUCCAAGGUCUCAUGCCCCAGAACUACAUGCCACCAUAGGUUUAUGAUUUUCCCAUAGUGGGUUGAGAUGGUGAUCACUCCCUACAACUAAUAUAAGUGUAUACUAAAGCUUUUAGCACUACAUUUCAAAAGUCUUAUAAAUAGAAUGGCAAAAUAGUUUUAAAAACUACGUGUAAAGGCUUACAGACUUCCUCAGACAUUGCUUUACUUAAGCCUUAGUCACAGACUUACAGUUUUCAGUUCUUAGAAGAUAAAGAUGAGCCUUUCUAACUUAGCUUACAUGAUUUACAAAUAGAAUAGAAGUACAGCUUUUAGAACUAAGUGUUAUGACUCACGAUAUUUACAUACCAUGUUUUACUACUCAUGAUAUAUGACUUCUCAACUUUCAGUUACUCAAGCCAGUGUGAGUCAUUUUUGCUUAGCAUGUAUUAUUUACAAAAUAUAUGUACUUAUUUAUAUAUACAGUUACAGUUUUACUUAUGUAUUCACCCCGAUAUACUCAGUACAUCCUCAAAGUACUGAUCCACAUAUAUGUCUAUGUGCUACAUUAUCUCAUAAUGUAGGUACAAGUCAUAGCACACAUAUUAUAAUCAAACAGGUUGCAGCUUCCAGUUAGUAGGUAAUGAAUCCUUUUGAUUCAAGGGCUCAAGUCAGUCAGAGUUUGUGUAGCAUUUUAUUUUCUUCAUUCAUUCGUGUUGAUUGAGGAUAGCUGGGGUCAUGUCUCGGUUACCUAAAAUCAAUGCUAGUAGAGGCUUCAUAGACAGUUAGUAGAGUUAAUGUAUUUGACUUCAGUUUUGUUUGUAAAAGCAGAGUUGUAAACAUUUUCCUACAGUUGUAUUGAUCAUAUUUAACUAAAGAUGUGUUUUUCGCCUAUUUUGUACAGAUUUAUGUAUCUUAUUUAGUUGCUCAUAAGUUAUUCCUAUAUAAGAGUUAGCUUGGGAUCACUUGUGGUCCUAAGCACCAUGUGACAUCUCGGGAUAAAUUUUUGAGGCGUUACAAAGGGUGUUAGUACCAUGCCAUGGGUAAAGACAACUGCUGUGGAGUCAGUUCUAAUUAACGGGUGACCCCUAAGGUCAGUCUUAUCUAGUGGGUGAUCCCUGAGUUUGUCAGUCCUAUCUAAUAGGUGACAUCUCAUGACCUACGCUAUCUACAUAGUUAUGGAACUUAGGGAUUGCUUCUAGGGACCUAGUCCUAGCUAUCGGGUGUGCCCCUAUCCCUAGGCUCGCUCGGUGCUGAAUCCUACUCCCAACUGAAAGAAACUAAACUGAUUUCCUAGUUCAUACUAGGCUUGACUGAACUGUUACUAAUCGUAUUGUUUAACUGAGCUAAACUGAGAUCACUGAGUUCCAUUGACAGAUGAAAUUCUACUAAAUUUUUUCCUGAGUUCUGUAACUGACUGAAUUCUACUCAUCGUGACAUGACUGAGACUAUUCUAUAAUUGACACUGGCUCUAGGCAAACAACUAAAUUGUCAGGAAUUAAAUACCCUCAGGACUCGAUAACAUGAUAAGUAAAGCAUAACAUGAUCUUGCAAAGCAUAACAAUACAUACUUUUUCAUAAUUCAUCUAUAGAGAUAUUUCAUCAAACACUUGUGCACAUACUAACAUCUCACAAUCUCAUCAACUUAUUCACAUGAAAGUCAUAAACUCGUACAUAAUAGGAAUACAUACUAAUGUCUCAUGAUUCAUUCAAUACGGACUUUCAUCAAACACUUGACAUGCAUUAACAUGUACAUGAAUGGGAAUUUCUUGUCCACGUGCUAUAAUGACACUAUUUCAUUCACAUAGGCAUUUUAUCAAAUAUAUAGGGAGCAUGCUUUGAUCAUACAAUAGUCAAUACAUCUAAUUAUCAUGUCUAAUAUUUUAACUUGCAAUUUGAGGGGUUUAUCAUGAACAUCAUGCUAAUCAUCACAUUUUAGGAUCAAUUCUUGUAUCUUAUAAUCUAAAACAUGAAUCAAAACUCAACAACAACAUGAACAUGAAUUUCUAUUCAAGUAAAUCAUGAAAACUCACAAAUAUACAAUCUUUGUAUUUUGAAAAUAGAUUCUUGGGCUUCAUGGGUGGAAGGGACCCAUGAAUAAACAUCUAAUAGACCUUAAUGUUCGACUUUAAGAAGAUUGAUGAUGAAAUUCUUGAGGGCUGAAUCUUGAAUUAAAAACCCUAAUGUUUUUUCUUGAGAGAGUUUGAGAGGAUGAGAGUAUAUUUUGGUGAAUUAGGGCUAAUUUUUUUAGUUUAUGGCUAAAUGAGGAUGGAUAAAUGACCCUUUUACCCUUUAAAAAUUUGGGGCUAGACUGCUGAAAUUGCCCCAGUCAGAAUGGCAAGGGCACAGCGGGCUCUAGUUAGCCACUCUAUGAAGGGCGUCGCGGUUCUUAAAGCACCGCUAUGGCCAGGGCGGCACGGGCUUAAUACCUUUAGCUAAUAGUUUGGAAAUCCAAAUAGGCCCUUACCCUUGUCUAAAAUUUUGAAACUCACCCGAGAUGUACUACUGACUUGCCCCAUCAUGAAUCAACUUAAAAAUCAACAAAUAAAGGUUAGGAAGGUCAUGAAAUAAAUCUUUGAAGUUUGAAGGCUUUAAAAAAGUCUAAGUCUCAACACUUAGCUAAAAUUUUCCAAGUGUGAGACCCCUUAUAAAGCUCUAAGGGUCUGAAUUAAACUUAGAAUUUUUGUGGGGUCUUACAACUUGUGUCUAAUAUGAGGUCUAGAAUAAAGAAUCUUUCUUUAGGUUUUUCUCGCGACUUGGUGUUAGGGUGUAAGGCAGCUAUGCUGAGUAAUGAUAUGGAUAUAUCUAUAUUGGUGUUCUAUAUGCAACAGGUGGAAGAUGAGUAAAAAAGUGGAUAGAGGUAGAGAAAAGGCAGAAUAAGAAGGUUAAGCAUACACAUCAAGAUGUAUGCCAAUAGUUUGGUGGUUUAAUAAGAAAUCCUGGGAAAUUAUCAUCAAUCAGCCAGUGCUCCGACCCCCAUUAGUGACCAACACUCCUAGUCUAGCAAUGACCAUUGGGCACAGAGUGCCUUAUCUCAAGCCAGUAUAGCACAGUUGAUGCCAUCUUAUCCAUGUUACCUCACUUGUGGGAAGUUUCAUCAUGGGUUUUGUCGCGUCAGGUGUGGAGUGUGUUUUGGAAGUGUCAUUCGGGUCAUAUACAAUGAUAUUGUCUUUUAUCUAGGGUUUCCACCAAAGCUAAGGGUCUUAUUCUCUACUUCAUCAACUCUCAUAGCUAAGGGUGCUACAUUAGGGAUAGAAAAUAGCUGAAAUUGCCUUUAUGCACUUGACACCCAUCAGGAAUCCAAGGCAUCCUUAGAUGUUGUCACUAGUAUGUUAUAUAUUUUCUCUUAAGAUGUUUAUUGUUUUCUUGAUUUGGGUUCUACUCUGUCAUAUAUGAAUCUUUAUGUCAUUGUACACUUUGGUUCUAGUCCUAUAAGUGUGAAUUUUGGCAAGGUGUUGUAAAUUUUCUUUGGCAUAUAGUGUCUAGUAAAGGAAUCAAGGAGCACCUAAAAAAGAUUGAGAUAGUUAAGAAGUGGCCUAUACCCAUGACUCCAACCGACAUUAGGAGCUUUUUGGGCUUGGUCAGGUACUAUAAGAGGAUUUUUGAGAGUUUAUCAUCUAUUGUCGCUUUGCUGAUAAGGUUAAUUCAGAAAAGGUGAAGUUUUUAUGGUCUGAUCCUUGUGAGGGCAGUUUUGAGAAGUUAAAGGAUAAGUUGAUUUUUACUUCUAUUUUUACCCUACUCGAGGGAACUGAUGGGUUUGUUGUGUAUUACAAUGCAUCCCGUGUGGGUUUAAGGUAUGUUUUGAUGCAACAUUGUAAGGUUAUAUCUUAUGCUUCUAGGGAGCUUAAGGUUCAUGAGAGGAAUUACCCGACUAACGAUCUAGAGUUGGCGGAUAUGGUCUUUGCUGUGAAGAUUUGGCACCACAAUGUUGUAUGGGGUGAAUGUGGGUAUUUAUUCGGACCAUAAGAUCUUGCAGUAUGUGUUUACACAGUAGGAAUUGAAUCUUAAGAAGAGGCGCUGGAUCAAAUUGCUUAAAAAUAAUGACAUGAGCCUUCACUAUCGCCUAGGUGAAGCUACCAUUGUUGAUGAUGUGCUUAGUAGUCUAUCCAUAAGGAGUCUAUCCCACGUUAAAGAGGAUAAAAAAAGACUGUGAAGGACAUUCACCGGCUGGCUAGUUUAGGAGUUCACUUUUUACACUUUGACGAUGAAGGAGUGUUCAUUAUAGAAGUGGUUUAAUCAUCUCUUGGUACUGAGGUAAAGGGGAAGCAGGUUCUGGACCAUAUACCCAUGCAAAUCAAAGAUGGUGUGGGUCAUCAAAAGUUUAUGGCUUUUGAGACUGAGGUAGAUAACACCUUGAGAUAUCAAGGAAAGUUGUGUGUCCGUGAUGUAGAUGGGUUGCGGGAAAAUAUCUUGACUGAAGUGCAUGUGUCUAGGUAUACCAUUCAUUCGGGUUUGACACAAAUUUAUUAUAAUCUAGAAAAAAUCUAUUGGUGGAAUAAAUAUGAAAAGGUAUAUGACAAAUUUUGUUACCAAGUGUAUGGUCUGUUAGCAAGUCAAGGUUAAAUAUUUAACGUUGGGUGGCAUAUCAAAAGAGAUAGAAUUUUCCAUGUAGAAGUGGGAGAUGAUUAAUACAGAUUUCAUCUCGGGUCUUCCGCAGUCUCAAAAUUAGUAUGAUUCAAUUUGGGUCAUUGUGGACAGAAUGACCAAGUCUGCUCACUUUUUGCCGGUAAGGACUAACUACUCAGGAGAGGAUCAUGACAAGUUGUUUAUUUCGAAUUAGUUAAGUUGCAGGAACCCGAUGUCCAUCAUUUUAAACUAAGGUAUGCAGUUCUCUUCUUAUUUUUGGCAUUUUUUUCAAAAGGGGUUGGAUACCCAGGUGAACCAUAGCACAACUUUUCACCCUUAAAUGGAUGGGAAAGCGGAGCACACUAUUUAGACUCUAGAAGAAAUGCUAAGGUCCUGUGUAACAGACUUUAAAGGAAGUUGGGUUGAUCAUUUUCCUCUUAUUGAAUUUGCUUAUUGAACCAAGUUAGGACUAUCUUGGUUCACCAAUCCAUGGAGAAGGUAAAGGUGAUCCGAGAAAAACUUAAGGUUGCUUAAAGUUGCCAAAAGUCUUAUGCGGAUGUGAAGAGAAGGGAGAUGGAAUUUGAAGUUGAUGAUUGGGUAGUCUUUAAAGUUUCUUCAAUAAAGAGAAUCAUGAGAUUUGGGAAAAGGGGAAGCUUACCCCUCGUUUCAUUAGUCCAUACCAGAUAUUAAUAAGGAUUGGUAAUGUUUAUUUUAUAUUGGAAUUACCUACGAGUUUGACUUCAGGGUUUAUCUCGUAUUUCAUAUGUCUAUGCUUAAAAAGUGUGUGAGUGAUCCUUCUUUAGUAGUGGCCAUUAUAGAUAUUGGUGUCAAGGAUUCACUGUCCUACGAGAAAUUCCCAGUUGAGAUAUUGGAUAGGCAAGUUUGGAAACUGAGGACUAAGUAAAUAGCUUCGGUGAAGGUUCUUUAGAGGAAUCAAAAGGUAGAAGAGACUACGUGGGAAUAGGAAGAGGAUAUGAAAGCCAAGUACCCAUUCUUGUUCCCGAAACUGUUCAAGGUGUGAGUUUAAUUUCCCCUCUUGAAAUAUUUUGGAUUUGUCCUUGAAUUCCAUUGUGCUUUUUCUAUUAUCAUGCUAAGAAUGUCCUAACUCCUCAUUCAGGGAAGAAUUAUCCAGAGGAGGGGAUUAUGUAAGAUCCCGUAAAUUUUUGACCAAUUUAUUUAAGACCCUCCCUUGUUCUUAAUGGUAAUUUUUGACUUGAAUCCUGACAAGGGAUGUUACUGAGAUGUUUUUGAAGAGUUUCAAAAUUUUAGAAAAGAGUUCGGGGUCAUUUAUGGACCUCGAGAUAGUGAGCCUCAGUGAUAGGGGUGUAACGCUACCUAUGCCCUGUGAUAAGAGCAUGGCACAUGAUAAGGGUAUGGAACACUUCCUACGCCCCGCGAUAAGGGUGUUCCACGCUGCUGGGCACAAAUUGCCCAACUUUUUUUUCCAAUUGAGGGCAAGGGAUUUUUGAUCCUUUUCCUCAUUACACAACAUAAAAUGUCUUCUAAUCCCUCAUAGCCAUUAGUUGUCAACUUUUAACAUUGCUAUUCUCCUCUCCAUCUCCCAAGUCAAGAAACUCAAGAUUUUCUCAAGAAUUUACUACUCCGGACUCUAAAUUCCACAUUCUCUCCACAUUCUUCCAAUUUUUAGGCAUGCUGAACACUCCGUAAUUUAAAUACUAUAAUAUUUCAUUCAUUCGAUUGUUAUUUAAGAGCUCUAGAAUAAUGGGUUUAAAUUAGGGUUUGAUAAUUGUCAUCACUAAUAUAAAAUAUUGAUUUUCUCUUCUUAUAAAUUAUUUAUAACCACUUGUGGUGGGUUUUGGAUUUUUGAAUAACAUUUUUGAAAGGAUGCAUUGCAUUAUAUAAGUAUUGAAACAUUUAAUUUCAAGGAUGAUUGAACUCAUGAUUUUUCAAGCCCUUUGAAAAAUAUUUGAAUUGAGAUGCUAAACAAAGAUGACACCCUAUCUUUUUGAGAUAUUAAAAGUGUUAAACUUUAUGAAUGCUUUGAGGUUUUUAUGCUAUUUAAUAAUUAUUAUGAGCAUGAUUUUUGAAUGAAGGGGUUAAAGAGUCAUAACUAUUUUAAGAUAAUGGUUCUUGGCAUGAUAUGAAUGGUUUGUAAGUCUUGGUAUGAUGAUACCAGUAUGAAUAUGCCCUAAUGAAUGAUUCCAUGAUAAAUGUUAUGUGCAAACUGUUUUAAUUAGGAUCUAAAGGGAAUUAUAUAGUUCAACGUGAAGAUGUAAGUCUUUAUGACCAACGCCUAAAACCUAUGUUUGACGGAAUAGAGAUGUCGUACCUUAAUUGGAUGAUCAGAUUAUGUCCUUAACAUAAGGAUAAUAUAAAUAGUGUCUUUAGUCUACUUGUAAAUUAGCCUAACCUCGGUAUAUAUGACCAACACGAACUGGGGCCCCGUCGGUGGUGGAGCACCGAACUCUUAUAGCUGUGGGUUACUAGAUGACCCAUACUACCAAUGAGUCACUAGAUGAUUAUGAGAGCUAUAUGGUUCAUGAUUAAAGUAAAGGUUCAUGUAACAUGUCCCUUAUCCCUACCCAGUCAUCCUUUUAUGCACAUAGACCUGAUUUGCAUAUAGUUUAUAACUGGUUUUGUUAAAUGCAUAUAUGUUUUAUCCCUUUUCAUAUAUUGUAUGCAGUAGUACUGACUUGUAAGACCCCAAAAAAUACUAAGCUUGACUCCAUCCAUUUUUAGCUAAGGUCCCAGUCUUAAAUUUUUUAGCUAAGUAUCAAGACUUAGAAUCAUUUUAAGGUUCCAAAUUGGGAGAAUUUUAUUUCCGACCUUCCCGACCUUUGUUUGUUGAUUUUUAAGUUGAUUCAUGAUCGGAAAAGUCAAUAGUACAUCUUGGGUGAGUUUUAGAAUUUUUGAACAUGCGUAAAGGCAUGUUUGGUAUGUUGAAACAGUAGCUCAGGGCGACGGUACCUAGGUGUAGUCCAGAUGGGCAAGGUGGUGCCCUGCAUAGAGAGGUACUCCAGGGACCGUGGCGCCUUGUCCAGUCCGACUGGGGUAAUUCUAUAGUCUAGCUCCAAAAUCUUAAGGGCAAAAAGGUCAAUUCCCUUUACCCGUAUUUAGCCAAAACACGAGAUUUAGCACCAAAACACCAAAAUAUACUUACUUUUUCUCAAAUUCUCUCAAGAACAAGCCUUAGGGUUUUCAAUUGAGGAUUCAAAGCUUACAGAUUUCACCGUCAAUCAUCUCAAAAUCAAGCAACAAGGUAUGUUAAGUGUUCAUCCUUGGGUAUCCUUCCACCAUUGGAGUUCAAGAACUUUUUUUUUAAGAAUGAAUUAUGGAAUCCAUGUUAUGAAUUGAAUUGUGUGCAUGUUAAUGUUAUUGUACGGUUUCCAAGUAGAAAUCUUUGGUGGAUUCCUUGAAAUUAUGAUAGCAUGUAUGUUGAAUUUUGAUUCUCUUAAGUUGAAACCAUUAGAUUAUGAAUUAAUAUGGUAGUCAUGAUGUGUUAGCAUUGUUAUUUAUGCCCAAGAACAAGGUUAUGCUUCUAUGUGUUUGUCAAAAUGCCUAACUGAAUAAAUUGUGACCUUUUCUAUUGAUCUAAAUGAUGAACUUAUGCUAUAUCCUCAUGUUCAAAAUGACUCCCAUGAUAAAGCCAUGCCUUGAAAGUGUUUGUUGAAAUCCCUAUGUGGGUGAAAUAGUGCAAUUUUAUCAUGAUAACAUGUAAUCCCCAUUCAUGCUCAUGUUAAUGCAUUACAAGUGAUUGAUGAAAUGCCUUAGCAAGUAAAUUAUGAAUAUAUGGCCAUUGUUGUGAUUCAAGAAUUAUGUUAUGAUUUACUCUUUACGCUAUCGAGUCCUCAGGUAUUUAAUACCGGACAAUUUAGCAAUAUACCUAGAGCCAGUGUCAGUUAUAGAAUAAUAUCAGUCAUGUCACGAUCAGUAGUACUCUCAGUCAGUUACAAAGCUCAGGAAAGCUCAAUAAACUUAGUAUCAGUCCACUCUAGUUCAGUACUCAGUUCAGACCUCAGCUCAAUUCAGUUAAUCAGUACAAUCAGUAAUAGUUUAGUCUAGCCUAGUAUGAACUAGAAAAUCAGCUCAGUGUCUAUUCAAUUAGGAGUAGGAUUCAUCACCGAGUGAACCCAAGGAUGGGGACUCACCUACCAGUAGAGGGUGUGAUCCUUAGAAGCAAUCCUUGCAUUCCAAAACUACGUAUCCCGUGUAGGUUGAGACAUCAAACCUGCCAGACAAAGGUUGAUGAGGUGUUUUAACCUAUCACUUGAGGGUUCUACCAUUCUCAUUAGCGAACCUGCCAGAUGAGCGUAUCUCUUCACCCUUCCAACUAGGGUUACAGGUUGGACCCGAAAUCUAUUUAGAAAAGGGGCAUAUUAGUUAGAUGAUUACCUCCCACAGUCUCAGUUUCAGAUUCAAUUUUAGUAUAGAACUCAGAUAGUUCUACAGAAUCAGGAUUAUCUAAUACAGUCACACAACUCAGCAAAGAACUUAGAUAGUUCUUCAGAUUCAGGACUAUCAAAAAUAGUCACUCAGUAUCAGUAAUACAGUAUUAGUAAACACAGAUGUCAGUUAAUUAGUAUUUAGACUCAGUAUUCAGUAUUAUCACGAUCUCAGUUACAAUUUAUGUAUUCAUGCAUGUAUUUUUAUUCAGUCAUAUUUAUUUCAUUCAGUUAGUAUUGUUCAUGCAUAUGAAACCAUGCAUUUAGCCUAACUCACUUUUUUAUACCAGUAUAUUUAAAGUACUAACACAUACUUUUCUCUUGCACUAUGGUGUCUUAUAUCAUUGUUUCAGAUGCAAGGACUCCUGACCAUCCUUAGCAUCCCAUCUUAUCAACAGCAGACUUGUAGUGAAGUUAUCAUUUCAGUUAGUAGUAUUCAGUUUAUUUUUAGUAGUCAGAGUUAGUUGGGGACUUGUCCCAUCAACUCCACAGUUCAUAAAAUUUAGAGGUUUUUCAGGCUAUAGUUUCAGACAGAUGUUCAGUUUUUAGUAUUGAGGUUCAGUUUUGGUAUUAUUAUACCUUAUUUCAUUUUGUUAUAGUAUUGAAACUUAUGGAAAGUUUCUAUCUUUUUCCACAUUUAUCUCAGUUAUAUUGUUAUUACAGUAUUACUAUUGUUUAGUGCUCACAGCAAGUACAAGUCAUGGGUUAGCUAGUGGUCCUUUGGGAUUGUUAGCACCGUGUAGCAUUCAGGGUACAAACUCGGGGCAUUACAAACUUAGUAUUAGAGAUUAAGGUUCAACAGUGUCCUAGGAAGUCUAAAAGCCGCAUCUAUUAGAGUUUUGUGCAUAGGUGUAUUGGACGCCACACUUAUGGAAAGGAGGCUACGAGAUGUUUUAGAAAUAGUUUCCCUUAUUUCAGUAUUCACGUCAUGCGAAUGAGCAUGAGCUCAAGUUGAACUUUCAGUCUAAUCUAUUUUUUCCCUUUGUUUACAGAACAUGCCUCCCAAGAAAGGUAAUGGAAGGAGAAUUGGAAAUCAGUCAACAACUCAACCCGUUCAGGCAAAUCCCCUAGAUGAACACGUCUCACAUGCAGAAUUUAGAGUUGCAUUUACUACUCUAGCUAAUUUAGGUUUUGCUUAGAAUGAAUGCCCAACUACUAUUUUGGCCAACCCAGUGGCCAAUACUACUGUAGCCAGGAUUCGGGACUUCACCCGAAUGAACCCUCCAUCUUUUAUCAGGUCUAAGUCAGAUGAGGACCCUCAGGAAUUCCUUGAUUAGGUAUAGAAGGUUAUAGAUAUUAUGGGGCUAACAUCUACUGAGAGUGCUAAGCUAGCUAUAUAUUAGUUGCAAGAUAUGGCUCACUCAUGGUUCAAAUAGUGGAAAGAAGAGAGGGUCGUAGAUGCAGGGCCCAUAGAAUGGGAGAAGUUUUCCACUUAUUUUCUGGAUAGAUUCUUUCCCCUUUAGAUGAGAGAAGCUAAGGUGUUAGAAUUUAUCAACCUCAAGCAGGGAAACAUGACAGUGAAAGAAUAUUCUCUCAAGUUUACUCAGCUAGCUAGAUACGCUUCUUAUAUAGUGGCAGAUAACAGAUCUAAGAUGAGUAAAUUUAUAUCUAGGGUGAAUGAUAGUCUGGUCUAGGAGUGCAGGACCAUAAUGAUUAUUAGUGAGAUGGACCUAGCUAGGUUGAUAGUCCAUGCUCAGUAGAUAGAGGAGCAAAAAAAUAAGGAGAGAGAAGCAGAAUAAGAGAGCCAGAACAGGUAGUUUUAAAUUUGCUCAACCUAAGUCAUAGGGUGGGAAUUGUUCUUAGUUCCAUCCUAAAUCUUUAGUUCCAGGUCCAUCCUCAGUCAGUGCCCCAGUUCCAAAAUUCAGAGAUGGCAAUAGAGAUAGGGCGUUAGGCCCUAAACCUUAGGUUAGUGUUAGCAGUGCCUAAACCAAUCCUAUAUGUCAGCAGUGUGGCAAAAAUCACCAGGGUAUGUACAUAGUGGGCAAUGAUGUGUGUUUUGAAUAUGGCAAGCUAGGCCACAGAAUCGGAGAUUAUCCCCAGUCAGGUUCUUAAGGUCAACAUAACCGUCUUCCAGCUCAGUUUGGUCGUCUGAAUUAGUAGGGUGCCUCAUCCAGUGCCACUAGUAGGCAACGCCAAAACAGACUUUAUGCUCUUCAGUCCCGACAAGAUCAGUAAAAUUCUUCUGAUGUGAUCACUGGUACGUUACAAGUUUACCAUUUACAUGUUUAUGCUUUGUUAGAUCUAGGAGCUUUCUUGUAUUUUUUACUCCUUAUAUAGCUGUUGAUUUCAGAGUCAGUCCCAAAAUCCUAGUAGAGCCUUUCUCAGUAUCUACCUAGUGGGUAAAUCUAUCAUAUCCCAAUGGGUAUACAAGAACUAUCCAGUUAUGGUAUCUCAAAAAGUCACAUAAGCAGACUUAGUCGAAUUAAAGAUGACCGAUUUUGAUGUCAUUCUCAUUAUGGAUUGGCUUUAUUCUCGAUAUGCCUUAGUCAACUGCAAAAACAAAAUAGUCCAGUUUCAGUUCCCAAAUGAACCUAUCCUAGAGUGGAGGGGUAGUAUUUUAGCACUUAGGGGUCAGCUUGUUUCUUACCUUUGGGCGAGAAAAAUGAUAUCUAAGGGAUAUGUCUACCAUCUAGUUUGAGUCCAGAACUCUAACUCAGAAACCCCUAAUCUUGAAUCAGUGUCAGUAGCAUGUGAAUUCCUAGAUGUGUUUCCCAAAGAUCUUCUAAGAGUUCCUCCAGAAAGGGAAAUUGAAUAACACAUAUUCGAACAUACCAAACACGCAAAUUAUUCAGGAUUACGUAAAAUUGAGAGGAGCAAGGAUAGAAUUGAACCUUCCGAAUAUCGAUUUUUCGUUGAUAAUAAUAUUUAAGAAAACCCGAAUCCAAAGGCCUUAAUGCUGCUUUCAAGUAUUAUUCUGAUUAAAUCUGGUAGAGCCCGUGCCGAUGAACCUCGAAUCAACAAUCUCCAACCCGAACGUCGACUAACCGAAUUUCGAACCAACAGCGACGACAAGACAAGACGGAGCCCCCAACCCGAACAUGGACCAACCGGAUUUUUCCAACCAACAACGACGAUAAGACAAGACAGAAACCCCAACCCGAAUGUCGACUAACCGAAUUUUGAACCAACAACGACGAUAAACAAAAGGAACCCUAACCCGAACAUCAACUAACUGGAUUUCGAACCAACAACGACGAUAAACAAGACGGAACCCCAACCCGAACAUCCACUAACCUUGCGAAUGAAAGAAGCAGCAACCUGAACUCUCGGAUAAAAAAUAAACCUCAACAAACGGCUAAACCAACUCGGAGUUAAACAUCUAUGACUGGGACUCCGGCGACGAAAGACGAUGACACAAGUCCGGUUCAGCUGACUUUACUGUUUCGAACUGUGAUUAUUAUUUAAUCGUACUUUUGAUUUCAAACCGAACAGCUGACCGGAGCUCACGACCUGGACCUCAUCGGAACCUCAAAUCGGAAUCUGUGAAUCUAAAAUGGUCAACCCAAACUCGAUUAGUACCGAGAACGGAGCUGUUCUAGUUUUUCGGUAGAUAUAAGUCGAUUACAGCGAGAAGCUAGGUUGCCGGUUUUAAUGGAUUUUACGGCGCCUCUCCGAUCACUAUUCCCCAAAUCCCGAUUUCUCUCUCUGUUUUUGCUACUCUGUUUUCUUCGUCUCUCCCUACUUUUGCUACUCUGUUUUCUACGUCUUCCUCUCUCUAAAUCAACCCCCCAAUUUCUUGUUUUCCGAUCACCACCGACCCCUACUGCGUGCGUGUGUGUGAGGAACGUUUGUCGUGUAAAUGGUGAGGGUGAGGGUCGAUCGGAGGAAAGGAAGAAGAUGAGUGUGUGUAUUGUGUAUAUUAAUGGUGAUGAGAGGUUCGGUUUUUUUGUGGAGAAGAAAAGAAAAAUUUUGAGAAGUGCUGUAUAUCUUCUCUGUGAAGAGAAUGAAGCUUUUUGUUUUUUUAUCUCCCAAAAAUGGUUUCCGUCUCUCUCUGCUUGCCCCUUUUUUUGUGAGAGUAUGUGUGUAUAUAUUGUGAGGGUGGGUAGUGGUGAGGUAGGGUAGGUGGGGUCACGUGGGUAGGGGGUAGGAGGUAGGGUGUGGGGUGGUGAGGUGGUUUAUUUUGAUUCGGUAGGUUGUUAGGAUAAGAUAGAAUUAGUUAGGAUAGGUUUUGUUAGGGAUUUUGUUAUUUUAUUUUAUAUAUAUNNNNNNNNNNNNNNNNNNNNNNNNNNNNNNNNNNNNNNNNNNNNNNNNNNNNNNNNNNNNNNNNNNNNNNNNNNNNNNNNNNNNNNNNNNNNNNNNNNNNNNNNNNNNNNNNNNNNNNNNNNNNNNNNNNNNNNNNNNNNNNNNNNNNNNNNNNNNNNNNNNNNNNNNNNNNNNNNNNNNNNNNNNNNNNNNNNNNNNNNNNNNNNNNNNNNNNNNNNNNNNNNNNNNNNNNNNNNNNNNNNNNNNNNNNNNNNNNNNNNNNNNNNNNNNNNNNNNNNNNNNNNNNNNNNNNNNNNNNNNNNNNNNNNNNNNNNNNNNNNNNNNNNNNNNNNNNNNNNNNNNNNNNNNNNNNNNNNNNNNNNNNNNNNNNNNNNNNNNNNNNNNNNNNNNNNNNNNNNNNNUAUAUAUAUAUAUAUAUAUAUAUAUAUAUAUUUGUAUUUUGUGAGGGUAUAAUAACAUGGGUGAGGGUACACGGUAGGAUAAAAUAAGAAUGAGUAAAAACGACAUUGGAAGGGACGAAAUUAGGUGUCUACAUCGAUAAAGGAGAAAAAUAUAUAUCAUAUUUUAAUUUUACAAGUUAUAGUUCACUUUUGAUACAUGUUAGCUUUACACCUUAUAGUCUAAUUUGUUUUCGAGAUUGUAGAGUCAAGUUAGGACAUUAUAUAUAAGAGUCUUAAUUCAAUCAUUAGUCUUUAUUUUUUUUAUCUAGUGUGACAAUAUUAUUUGAUUGCAAACAUUUAUAAAACUAGAUAAUAGGUAUCUAGCAUAGUAGAUUUACAUUAAUUAGUCAUGCGUGUGCUUUUAAUCCUCCUAGCAAGAAAUAAAAAGAAUUCAUACUAGAGAUCAAAUGUUAGUCACAGAUAAAUCAAAAGCAAACAUAACUUACAACUGAUCCAUCCUUUGAGGCAUUUCCCAUUCCCUCCUUCAAGCGAUGAGCACGGACUUGGCCCUCAAGAUCACUAGUCUGUACAUAUAAUAGUAAAAGAACAAUGUUAAGUUUAGUGUUUUUCCAAGACUUCAUUUGGAUAACUAAUAUAUAUAUAUAUAUGUAUGUAUAUGUACCUUAUGGAUUUGGGAUUUCCAAGAUUGUGUCAAAGGCUGAAUUUUUUCGGCUUGAUCAUCAAAAGGAAGCAAAUUCAUUCAAUCUUGAGAGUGAAUUUUUCUCUUCUGCAAUUGUUGUUCUUGAUUUGCCAUAUUCAUUUAUGUAUUUGAUGUGUUGUUGGGUUUGUUUGUACUUUGUAUGUUCUUCAAACUGUUUCUUCACUUUUUCAACUUCCUGUCUUCCUUCACCACUUGGUCCAUUUAGAAUUCCUUCAAAUUUUGUGUGUUUUAG
This 28678-nucleotide long non-coding RNA is filed under the name Capsicum annuum. Its description in RNAcentral is "long non-coding RNA (CANN_LNC005910)". Lineage: Eukaryota; Viridiplantae; Streptophyta; Magnoliopsida; Solanales; Solanaceae. The record is from RNAcentral.